UCCAGGGCAGAGCAGCUUUGGCUCUGGAAUCCCAGAGACCUCAGCCCAAACCUAGCUCCUCCCCAUAGCCAGAGAAACUUGAGGUACUUUCUGGGGUUCCCAGAGUCUCGGCUUCUAAAUAAUGGAAGCAACAGCUGCUGUCCCUACAGAGUAAGUCUUUUUGUGAAGAAUUAUUAAGAUAACGUAACGAAGGUGUCCAGGACGUUGCCCAGGGCUCCUGUGUGCCCACUGCUCACCUCCUUUCUACGGAAUUCAACGCCAGCAUCUUAAGGUGGUGGACCAUGUUGGGCAUUUUCGUCAUGAGACAGAGUUUUGGCUUCAAAGGGGAGUGCUCCCUCCUUGCUGCUUUUUUUUCACUCCUUACAACCCAGCAUAGACCUGGCUGCUAUCCUAACUGCGUAGCUGAGAAAGCAAGGCAUCGUGGGUAAUGCAAGAAUGGAUUCGAACCUGUCACCUUAGCUCCAGAGUCUCAUCUCAACUGGGAACCAACAGGGGUCUCUUAUCCCUGAAAAAACGAGCCCUGCUUUCUGAAGCUCUAAGGAAACGUUGACUGAUAGAUGCAAAGUGAGAUGGCGCCACCCAACUCACUAACUGGCCGCCGUCUUCAUUUUAUUCCUAGCCUCGACUCCGCCCCCACGCUUAGGGCAUGCUCUCGCUGCCCUCCCUCCCACUAGAACGCAUGCUUCCUACCAGAAGGCCUUUGAUGUCCCCCCUCACGCAAGAGCGGUGUGGACCCCGCAUAAGUACUUGUUUAGUGACUGAACCGAUGACCCCCAUUUAACCCUGACCCUGGAGGUCUUCAGCUACAGCCCCGACUGGACCACUGGGGUGGGGUUAAGGUCAAUCCUAUAACCUGGGGUUGAGGUUGAGGCAAAGCCCCCGGACAGUCCCUAGACAGUGAGAAUGAGGAGGACCAGCCUGGUGUGCAGCCUGUCACAACAACCCUUCACCUCCCUCGGGGUACCCACCAAGCGCUCGCCUUGGGUGAGCUGACAGCAGAACUGAUCUGGGAGCUAACUUGCUUUCUGUGGCAGAGGGAAAGACUUGGAAGCUUGUUGGUGUGUAAAUUAAAACAAUAAGUGGCCUUUUCAAAUGACAUUUCCAGACAGGCAAAUGCUCGGAUUAGCAUCUAGACCAGGAUGUCAAAAAGCUGCCAUGGCCAGCGUGCUCAGAGGCCCUGGCAGUGCCGCCCUGAGUCCCUGGAGAGCCGCUCCUUCCUAAGUGGGUCUCCGCUGCAGCGGACACCACACCGGGGACUCUAACUGGAGACUGCCCCCAAGCCCCCGGUCCACCACAGCUGCAGUCAAUUUCCUUCUGAUUAACCCAACCUUUCCUCUCUAAGGAAGUUGUUAGCGGGAGGGGACUGCGGUCACAAUAUUGUUUGUGACUGUUUAUCUUCAGCCCAAGCAGGACCGAUUACAAAUAUUUAUGUGCAUUUUUCAAAAGUCUC
Molecule: long non-coding RNA, 1450 nt
Organism: Peromyscus eremicus (cactus mouse)
Lineage: Eukaryota; Metazoa; Chordata; Mammalia; Rodentia; Cricetidae
Exons: 3
Source: RefSeq, a predicted model, not a curated record